RNAcentral lists this transfer RNA (69 nucleotides) under Cyrtopodion scabrum. Its description in RNAcentral is "tRNA-His". Lineage: Eukaryota; Metazoa; Chordata; Lepidosauria; Squamata; Gekkonidae. The record is from RNAcentral.
GUGGACAUAGUUUAAACAAAACACUAAGUUGUGGCCUUAGCAAUAAGAGCUUAACCCUCUUUGCACACC